RNAcentral lists this ribosomal RNA (252 nucleotides) under uncultured bacterium. Its description in RNAcentral is "partial 16S ribosomal RNA". It matches the Rfam family "Bacterial small subunit ribosomal RNA", at positions 524 to 776 of the family's 1533-position model. The record is from RNAcentral.
UACGUAGGGGGCAAGCGUUGUCCGGAAUUAUUGGGCGUAAAGCGCGCGCAGGCGGUUAUUUAAGUCUGGUGUUUAAUCCUGGGGCUCAACCCCAGUUCGCAUCGGAAACUGGAUGACUUGAGUGUAGGAGAGGAAAGUGGAAUUCCACGUGUAGCGGUGAAAUGCGUAGAGAUGUGGAGGAACACCAGUGGCGAAGGCGGCUCUCUGGGACGGUACUGACGCUGAGACGCGAAAGCGUGGGGAGCGAACAGG